GAGAGCGGCACUCGUGCCGGACCCUCUCCCACCCUUGUGUAUCUACCUCUGUUGCCUUGGCGGGAGCCCCUUUGGGGGCCCGAAGCGCGGGAGCUCGGCCCCCGCGGUCCGUCAGAGGCCCCAUCAGUAACACCGCCAUCGUGUCUAUCCGAGUCGUGGUUAUAAAAAGCA
This 171-nucleotide unclassified non-coding RNA is filed under the name uncultured Ascomycota. RNAcentral describes it as "sequence contains ITS1". The record is from RNAcentral. Lineage: Eukaryota; Fungi; Ascomycota.